RNAcentral lists this ribosomal RNA (497 nucleotides) under Citrobacter freundii. RNAcentral describes it as "bacterial SSU rRNA". It matches the Rfam family "Bacterial small subunit ribosomal RNA", at positions 37 to 525 of the family's 1533-position model. Lineage: Bacteria; Pseudomonadati; Pseudomonadota; Gammaproteobacteria; Enterobacterales; Enterobacteriaceae. The record is from RNAcentral.
GCAUUUCGGCAGCUACACAUGCAGUCGAACGGUAGCACAGAGGAGCUUGCUCCUUGGGUGACGAGUGGCGGACGGGUGAGUAAUGUCUGGGAAACUGCCCGAUGGAGGGGGAUAACUACUGGAAACGGUAGCUAAUACCGCAUAACGUCUCAAGACCAAAGAGGGGGACCUUCGGGCCUCUUGCCAUCGGAUGUGCCCAGAUGGGAUUAGCUAGUAGGUGGGGUAACGGCUCACCUAGGCGACGAUCCCUAGCUGGUCUGAGAGGAUGACCAGCCACACUGGAACUGAGACACGGUCCAGACUCCUACGGGAGGCAGCAGUGGGGAAUAUUGCACAAUGGGCGCAAGCCUGAUGCAGCCAUGCCGCGUGUAUGAAGAAGGCCUUCGGGUUGUAAAGUACUUUCAGCGAGGAGGAAGGUGUUGUGGUUAAUACCCGCAUCAAUUGACGUUACUCGCAGAAGAAGCACCGGCUAACUCCGUGCCACAGGGGGCAAAUAA